This 538-nucleotide long non-coding RNA is filed under the name Brassica napus (rape). RNAcentral's name for it is "long non-coding RNA (BNAP_LNC018669)". Lineage: Eukaryota; Viridiplantae; Streptophyta; Magnoliopsida; Brassicales; Brassicaceae. The record is from RNAcentral.
ACGGCCAUGUUUGAGUGACGAGGAAGAAACAAGGUUUUUGAGAGAUGGCGGCCAAGAAAAAUAAAUAGGGUUAUCGAUAUAGUUCUGAUACCAUGUAAGGAAACGUAUUUUCAUAUAUUGUAAUGUUACACGAGAGUGUGUUUAUAUACACAGAGACACUAGGUAUUCACAAUAACUAAACUUCCUAAAACAGAGGGAUUGUGAAAUAUAUGCAAAUCAUAAUCAUAUCUCUAACAAGCUAUUGGUUUCUUUGUUUAUCAAGUAUUUUGUUUUGUUUCAUUCCGUAAAACAAAUAUUGUUUUAGUAUAGCAUAUUAUGUAAGUGAAGACUUGGUGUGAAGCCUUGGAGAUAGAUAUGCUGACCUAUUAUUAUAAAGUAUAAAUAUGUCAAUAUGAAUUGUGAUUCAGUUUGAUCCAAUCAUUUAUCACUGACGUGAGUUGCUUUAGCUAAUUUCAUUAUAUUAAUUAACUUCAAAUAAUUGGCUUUGAACUGCACAGUAGCAUCUUCUUGUUUUAUUUUGAUCGUAAUGGUUGUGUGC